Camellia sinensis is the source of this 858-nucleotide long non-coding RNA. RefSeq lists it as uncharacterized. The record is from RefSeq and is a predicted model, not a curated record. Lineage: Eukaryota; Viridiplantae; Streptophyta; Magnoliopsida; Ericales; Theaceae.
GACUUUUGUUCUCCCCUUUGUUCUUCCUCUCUCUGUCCGUGUCUACCUUCAUCUCUCAACACCCAUGUUUGUUUCAGACUCUCUGUCACUCUUCAUCUCUCGACGAUGCUGGGAUGAUAAUCUAGGGGAUGAUCAUGAUGUUCGUGCUUCCUAUCCAUCUCCAGACCAGAUAGAUCGAGCGGGAGAGAGAGAGAGAGAGAGAGAGCGAGAGGGAGACAGAGAGGGAGUAAAAGGGAGAGAGGGAGGGACAAACCAGAUCGUGAUCGACGAGCGUCGAGCUGCUGUUCGCGAACCUGAUUGACGAACCUGAGCGAGAGAUGACAACAAACUCCUCCUUCGCCACUGCUGUUCGACCUAGCUAGCCAAGUUUCCUUGGAAAGCAGUCAAAAGAACAAAGAAUAGCAAGGAACACCAAUACUAAUUGCAGCAAAGAAUGGUAUCAGUGAAAUGGUUAGCCAAAUCCUCAAUUAUCUUCCUGUGGCCAUAUAUGAUACAAUCCCAGAGGGAAAGAAUGUGAUGCUCCUAGCAUUGGAAAACAGGAAAAUUAUGGUUUAUAAGGAGUUGAUGCGUCCCAAUGUCACAAAAGAUUUGUUACACCACAAUGAUAAUGUCCGAAACAAUGCAUUGCAUCAUGCUGCAAUGGUCAAAAUUUAUCUGCCCUUGUUUGCACCAAAUGCUGUUCUUCGAAUGCAAUGGGAAAUCAAGUGGUACGAGAUAAACAAGUCAUACUCCAACAAUCAACAAAUUCAAAACUAAUAGAAAAAAUAUUCUAGUCAAUUCCUAAAAGCAUACAAUAUUAUGAAUGUAUGGGGUAAUUUGAGAUGUUUUAAAUAAGUGUACUUUUUGACUUUUUAUAUA